Molecule: ribosomal RNA, 259 nt
Filed under: uncultured bacterium
Lineage: Bacteria
Description: partial 16S ribosomal RNA
Rfam family: Bacterial small subunit ribosomal RNA
Source: RNAcentral
GUCCACGCCCUAAACGAUGAUUACUCGAUGUGUGCGAUACACUGUACGCGUCUGAGCGAAAGCAUUAAGUAAUCCACCUGGGGAGUACGGCCGCAAGGCUGAAACUCAAAGGAAUUGACGGGGGCCCCGCACAAGCGGAGGAGCAUGUGGUUUAAUUCGAUGAUACGCGAGGAACCUUACCAGGGCUUGAAAGUUAGGGAAUUAUCUGGAAACAGGUAAGUCAGCAAUGACCCGAAACUAGGUGCUGCAUGGCUGUCGU